RNAcentral lists this ribosomal RNA (253 nucleotides) under uncultured bacterium. RNAcentral describes it as "partial 16S ribosomal RNA". It matches the Rfam family "Bacterial small subunit ribosomal RNA", at positions 524 to 776 of the family's 1533-position model. The record is from RNAcentral.
UACGUAGGUGGCGAGCGUUGUCCGGAUUUACUGGGCGUAAAGAGCGCGCAGGCGGCUAUCCAAGUCAGUGGUGAAAGCCCGGAGCUCAACUCCGGAACUGCCAUUGAAACUGUUUAGCUUGAGGACGAGAGAGGUGAGUGGAAUUCCCAGUGUAGAGGUGAAAUUCGUAGAUAUUGGGAAGAACACCGGUGGCGAAGGCGGCUCACUGGCUCGUAUCUGACGCUCAGGCGCGAUAGCGUGGGGAUCAAACAGG